RNAcentral lists this ribosomal RNA (365 nucleotides) under Chaetozone sp. MB1c. RNAcentral describes it as "partial 16S ribosomal RNA". It matches the Rfam family "Bacterial large subunit ribosomal RNA", at positions 1946 to 2528 of the family's 2925-position model. Lineage: Eukaryota; Metazoa; Annelida; Polychaeta; Terebellida; Cirratulidae. The record is from RNAcentral.
CCGUGCUAAGGUAGCGCAAUCCAUUGCCCUUUAAUUGUGGGCCAGUAUGAAUGGACCCACGGAAGCAAAGCUGUCUCUGUAGGACAAAUAAAAGUUACCGUUUAGGUGAAAAGGCCUAAAUUCUGUAAAAAGACAAAAAGACCCUGUAGAGCUUAACUUAUAAAGUGCCUCAACAAAAGUAGUCUACAACCCACCCCACUUAAAAGUUUUGUUGGGGCGACAAAGGACUAUCCAAAACGUCCUCUCUCUAUUUAGACCAACGUCUCUUAAUGACCCAAACAAUUGUUCAAAAAACAUAGCUACCUCAGGGAUAACAGACCAAUCCCCCUCACAAGUUCAAAUUUACAGGGGAGUUUGGCACCUCG